AAAUUGAAGAGUUUGAUCAUGGCUCAGAUUGAACGCUGGCGGCAGGCCUAACACAUGCAAGUCGAACGGUAACAGGAAGCAGCUUGCUGCUUCGCUGACGAGUGGCGGACGGGUGAGUAAUGUCUGGGAAACUGCCUGAUGGAGGGGGAUAACUACUGGAAACGGUAGCUAAUACCGCAUAACGUCGCAAGACCAAAGGGGGGGGACCUUCGGGCCUCUUGCCAUCGGAUGUGCCCAGAUGGGAUUAGCUUGUUGGUGGGGUAACGGCUCACCAAGGCGACGAUCCCUAGCUGGUCUGAGAGGAUGACCAGCCACACUGGAACUGAGACACGGUCCAGACUCCUACGGGAGGCAGCAGUGGGGAAUAUUGCACAAUGGGCGCAAGCCUGAUGCAGCCAUGCCGCGUGUAUGAAGAAGGCCUUCGGGUUGUAAAGUACUUUCAGCGGGGAGGAAGGGAGUAAAGUUAAUACCUUU
Molecule: ribosomal RNA, 474 nt
Filed under: Escherichia coli
Lineage: Bacteria; Pseudomonadati; Pseudomonadota; Gammaproteobacteria; Enterobacterales; Enterobacteriaceae
Description: bacterial SSU rRNA
Rfam family: Bacterial small subunit ribosomal RNA
Source: RNAcentral